UCAAGUCAUCAUGGCCCUUAUGUCCAGGGCGACACACGUGCUACAAUGGCCGGCACAACGGGAAGCGAGUUCGCGAGGACGAGCGGAUCCCUCAAAGACCGGUCGCAGUUCGGAUUGAAGUCUGCAACUCGACUUCAUGAAGCUGGAAUCGCUAGUAAUCGUGGAUCAGCCAAGCCGCGGUGAAUACGUUCCCGGGCCUU
Molecule: ribosomal RNA, 200 nt
Filed under: uncultured Synergistaceae bacterium
Lineage: Bacteria; Thermotogati; Synergistota; Synergistia; Synergistales; Synergistaceae
Description: partial 16S ribosomal RNA
Rfam family: Bacterial small subunit ribosomal RNA
Source: RNAcentral